CUGUCAAAAUUGCGAAGGACAAUUUCGUGUUCAGGACACCCGAGUCCUUGUAAAGUUCCAAUCCAAAUUUACGCCAAAAUGACGUGAUGUGAUUGCUAACCACGUCCGAAUAUUAAUCGAGUGAUUAAUUAGCGCCGAACGACGCUAGAUUUGAACGAAAAACAAUAUCCCAACAAGAAAGGCUGAAGUACGUCGAUCAGGUGUUCGUAUGCGUGCGCGCAGCAAUCUGAAUGCAUGUGUUUGUGUGCGCGACAGUGACAACGGUUCCCAUUGUGCGAUUGUGUUUUUCGUGUUCGUACAUUAGAUUGAAUUGUGCGAUUCGGUAGUGUGCGUGCAGGUGUCAAUUUAAAGAUUUUUUUCGGGUAAAUUUUUGUUUAUUUUCGAGCCUCGCAGAAUUCAUAAAUCAGCGCGAUCUUUUGCAUAAUGCAAUUCGGGCGCGAUGUGAUUUCCAGUGUUUAGGAGCGUUCACAACAAAUGUCUGGCUGAGGCAGAGCGCUUUCGAUGGAUUUGUGUAUUAAACGAAGUAAUGAACGACCAUUUAACCUGCAGCAAUUCCACGAGUAGGAGUCCCGUAGCGCUUGCAGUUUCAUCCCUAAAAGUUUUAAAAUGAACGGUUUGGCCCGAGGGCCGGGGCCCUGCGUCUCCCGACUCCAGAAUUGCAAUUCUUCACAACAGUCUUCGACAUUGUCCUCGAGAUUCUCCUUGUCUACAUCAAGUCAACUCUCAACACGUCAUAAAAAUAAUAAUUUAAAAAAAUAUUGUACGGGUCGUAAUCAAAUUGGAAAACUGGGUUCAAAAAAUCUUGUUUGUGUAUUGAAAGGUGUAGAAUCAUUUGUGUCGAAAUUGAAAUCAAAUAAUAUUGAACUCAUUCUAAACGACGAAGUGCUGCGUAUUGUGGGCCCGCUACAAGCGGCAGCCCUCCCGUUUUCGUCUGCAUGGAGUCAAUGAGACGUAGUGAGGCGAAUAGUAGCCACCACCCGAAUAAGGUGGCCGUCAACAGCUUACCAACGGAAAGCAAUAAACACUCGAGUGGUAGUGGUUCUUCAUCACUAAAUAAUAAUAAGUUAAGUUUUAAUCAGCAGCAACAAGCGUCGCAAUCGCAACAAAUCAAACAACAAAAUCAAGAGCAAAAUCAAUUGCAAAAAACCUCAUCGUCAUCUGAGUCUUCAUCAUCGUCAUCAACAACGUCUUCGUCUUCGUCGUCCGGUGCCUCGACUUCGAGCGAGUCGAAAGACACGAACUUCGAAUACGACGACAACGAGUGGGACGUUGGCGGAAUCGGUGAUCUAAUAAUUGAUUUAGACGCCGACAUAGAAAAAUCAUCAUCAACAGCGGCAGCAGCAGCAGCAGCGUCGGUCAGCGUUAAUUCGCAAACGCAACAAGCGUCAAAUCAACAAAUAUCGGCAAAUUUGCCAAGCGUUAGUAGCAAUAAUAAUAGCGGGGGUGGUGGCAGUAAUAGUACGUCGAAUCAAGUCUUAAAUGCUCACGAGAAAUCUCCAAGCUCAGCAUCAUCAUCGAGAUCGUCAUCGUCGCCAUCAUCACCAACAACUGUUUCGUCAAAAUCGUCGAGUCUCUCAUCGCUUUUUGCUCCGAUCCCUCUACGUGCGUCCGGAGGACAACAGCAGUCCAACCAGCAGCACUCUAAUCUGCAAAAACAAAGAGCAAGUAACACUUCUCCCGCUUCAUUCCAAUCAAGUGCUACUAAACUGAAUUCCAAAGUCAGUUCAACGAAAGCUUCCUCAAACCUGAAACUCCAGCAACCUGCACUCUUAGCACAACUAAAUAGCAAAUCCGCUGCUUCAGACCAUUCACGCUUCCCAUCCUCUUCUUCGGCGUCCGCGCAAUUAUCAAAUUCUACUUCUGUUUCUCGAAACUACCAAAGCAGCAGCGCGGGCAAUCAUCCAUUACAAGUUGACAGGCACGGAAAGUUGUUAACAGGCAUAGUCCCAACGAUGUCCUCUCAGCAGAGUGGAGGCCAGGGAGCUGGCAAAACUGCAACAAAAAUGUCAAUUGACCAUCAAGCAACUCUUGACAAAGGUCUCAAGAUGAAAAUAAAGCGCACGAAACCCGGCACUAAAACCUCGGAGGCAAAACAUGAAAUAGUAAAGGCUGAACAAAACGGAACGACGACAAAUGUCGAAGAUAACAAUAUCUCAUCGAGUAAUUCGUCCUCUUCUUCGUCAUCUUCCAGUGGAAAGAAACACAGCCAAAUGAAUUCUGCCGCGGUACAACCUAUCCAGCAAACCCAACAGCCCACAAAGCGAGGUAGUAGCGGUCACCGACGUGAUAAAACCCGCGACAAAACGCCACAUUCGCGAGACAAAUCGGAUCACGGAAGUGGGGGUGGAAGUUCCAAUAAUAGUAACAGUAGCGGCAGCAACAGUUCCUCCAGUUCAAAUGCAAAUAAUGCUUCGCAAAGUGAUCGUUCAUCAACCUCUUGCAAUUGCUCGCACGACAUCCAAGUGAACGGGGUCCAAGCGCCUUGCACAAAUGUUUCCUGUGUUCGGAGUCGGACACCCACAACAACAGUGGAUUCUGCAAACAGCAACUCAUUGUCUCAAAGAAUCUCUGCACCGUCUGCUGGCAGUCAGCAAUCGGGCAACACAACCGGAAACUCCCUUAGUGGGAAUUCUUCGUCAAAUUCCUCCUCGUCAAACCAUAGCACAGGCGGGGCUAAUUCAUCGAAUCUAUUUUCGAACAAUAACAGUUCUACAAAUGUUCAAUCUUCAAGUAGUGGCACGCCGAACGCUCCUGGUCCACCAAAGGACAAGCUGUCGUCCUCGAAUACCAGCAAUCUGCACCAUCAACAGCAACAGUCUUCGCCAGCAACAGUCUCAAAUUCCACAUCCUCCUCCAUGUCCAACAUCCAACAAUCGAGUCAAACUCACAAUUCCUCACCGGUUAUCCACAAUAGCAGCAACCAAAAUAGUUCGAGCGGGAACAGCUCUCAACAGCAAUCAAUAUCGGCAACAGUUCACCAUACGAUCUCGGUGGCCGCGAACUGCGACGAUAGAAGUUGCAGCCCGCCGGCAAAGAAGCCCAAAUGUGAUCCCAAAGACAUGAUUGAUAUCUGUGUCGGAACAUCAGUUGGUACUAUAACCGAGCCUGACUGUUUGGGGCCUUGUGAACCGGGCACCUCGGUGACGCUGGAGGGUAUCGUGUGGCAUGAGACUGAAGGUGGAGUUCUUGUGGUAAAUGUGACUUGGCGAGGAAAGACCUACGUUGGUACACUUUUGGACUGUACGCGCCAUGACUGGGCUCCUCCAAGAUUCUGUGAUUCACCUACUGAGGAACUGGAUUCCCGAACUCCCAAAGGAAGAGGCAAGCGUGGGCGUGGUGCUGCGCUGACUCCGGAUCUAAGCAACUUCACGGAAACCCGAAGCUCUGUACAUUCCAAAUUGCGGAAUGGCGCAAAAGGUCGUGGCGGACGUGCUGUCACAACAACAGGUGCUGCAACAACUACGACGACAACCAGUUCAACGACGGCAGCAUCAUCGACGACUUUGUCGUCGAGCAACUCGAGCAGCACGACCAGUUCGAAUACUCCGUCAACGUCGCCGACCGCUUUUCUACCUCCACGUCCCGAAAAGCGCAAAUCAAAGGAUGAAAGCCCAUCGCCCGUGAACGGGGAAUCAUCCACACAGCAAAGUAGUGGUCAAACCCAGAGCUUUGUCAACCCCGUGACUGGGUUGAAUGUUCAAAUCAACCCGAAGAAGUGCAAGACUGCUUCACCAUGUGCGAUCUCGCCGGUAUUGUUGGAAUGUCCCGAACAAGAUUGUAGUAAGAAGUACAAACAUGCCAACGGGCUCCGAUAUCAUCAAAGCCAUGCACAUGGAUCUGGGUCCAUGGACGAAGAUUCAUUGCAGCUGCCUGAGUCGCCGCGGAUCGCCCCACCCACCACACCAUCUCCUGCUCCGGCAACGACACCACAGCCGCAAAUUCCUACUUCAAAUGCAACUGUUGCACAAGUGGCGUCACCGACGGCAGCUUCUCCAAACUUAAUGUCGGCGACAGUUCCUUCCACGCCAUCUCUGCCGACAGUGCAGAGCGCAACAAACCCAGCAGCCGCUUCGACAGGUGGACUCCUGACAACAAUUCCACAAUCGGUGGCUCCAUCCAUACCGCAAUCCAAUGCCGGUCCAGCGGUGUCACUGUCAAGUCAAAUGCCACAGCAUCCUGUACCUGGUGGUAGCAUCACCUCGGGAAUUUCGGGCCAGGCGUUGUCGCAUCAACAGCAACACACAAUGCUUGUGGGUGCAGUUCCAGGUGCUGGACUAAUGGGAAGCAAUAAUCAAACCAUUCCGGAAGCUGGUCAACCACUUCUGUCCCAACAACAAGCGCAGCAGCAACAACAGCAGCAGCAGCAAGUUUUGGUGGCAAAUAGCAAUAUGGCAAAUGCUCCGUCACGAGUCGAUUCUCAAAUCAAGCCCAGUGUGCUGCGGUUUGGUUCACCUUCAGACAACUUGUCUGGUCCGCAAAAUAUGCUUCCUGGUCAGGGUCCCAUCAGACCUACGCCAACAGCCGCCUCGAUGGCUGCAAGUUCGGGUCCGCCAAGUGCUCCGGAAGGGGUUGGGCAUCAGCCAUCUUAUAAUCAAUCACCCGCCUCAGUUCAACAAGGUUUAUCAAAUAGUAAGCCGCAAGGUUACGGAAAACAGAAGAAAAAUCGUUCAAAGUCGCCUGUUCUUGGUGAAUAUGACAAUUCAACGUCACGUGAUAACGUCCAAAGCCCAGCUUACAGCGAUAUUUCAGAUGAUUCCACGCCAGUUGUGGAUAGCGAGAUAAGCGAUAAAUCACAACCUCCUAAGCAUCCGGAUGCCAAAAAAGUACCAGAAGGAGCGCCACCACAAAUUGCCUCAUUGGGAGGUUACAGCAUGUAUCCCUUCUACCCGCAACAACAGUAUAUGGUGCCACCUGAACAUCAGGGCCCCAAACCGCCGGUAUCGCAAUCUUCAUUGCAACCCUCAUCACCUGCCGAAUACAAUAAAUCAAAAGAUCCACCACUUGAUCUAAUGACAAAGCCCGUUCAGCCGAAUGAGCCACCAUCGAAGGAAUCAAAUGUACCUCCACAAAGCCCUGCAGGUCCAGGGCCUCAAAAUCCGAAUAAACCGAUACCGCAUUUCUAUCCGUAUAAUAAUUACAUGCCUCCUGGCUAUCCGUACAACAUGGAACCAAAUUAUGGUCCGAUAUCAAUGGUCUCCGAUGACAAUAAACUCAGCGCGAUUUCCACUGCUUCGCAUUCCAUGAAAGAAGAACGUAGCAAAGAAAAUCCUAGUCCAAGUGAGCAUGGAAAGAUACCAGGACAGAUACUACCAUCGAAGCUAAUGAAAACUGAACCAUCGGUGAAGGAAAUUAAAACCGAGCCUAGCAGUCACCCAAUGCAUCCUAAAGAGCCUCCGGUUCAAUCAAUGGGUUCGUAUCCAAGCAUGUAUCAGAGGCAUCCAGUCGGAGUUCCACCGCAACCGUCGCAACAUAUGUCGCGGGAAGAAGAUGUGAGAAGAUUUUACAUGUAUUCGGAUCAAAGGCGUCCAAACCUCUCGAACAAUCCACCACCAAAUGUUCCUCCAGUUUCUAUAAAAGAAGAAUCACCAUCACCUUCACAACCACCUAUGCAACAUUCAUCUGCGGGCAUCUCGCAAGGACAACAAAUGUCUCAAAUAUCCCAGUCGCCACAAAACCAGUCAUCGCAAUCGCAAAAUACAUCGCAACAACAGAAAAGCGUAAAAUCUAGUCUCUCCAGUUCACAGACAUCAUCAAGCCAGAAAGCUACAAAUCUGGUGAAAGAUACAAAAGAAGAUAAAGAUGUGAAAAUCAAACAGGAGGGACAAAAACCCACGAUGGAAACACAAGGACCACCGCCACCACCAACAUCCCAGUAUUUCCUUCAUCCGCAAUAUUUAACACCGAAUUUCAGUUUCGAUCCGGGCCAUCCGAUGUAUCGUAACGUUCUAAUGUCUACUUCGCCAUAUAACACGCCUCCCUAUCACUUGCCCAUGCCGAGGUUUCAUGCACCCGAGGAUCUUUCACGAAACCCGGGACCGAAAGCUUUAGAUGUGUUGCAGCAGGCGGCCAAUAUGCAGUAUUAUGGAAGUCAUAAAAUUCACGAGCUGAGCGAAAGAGCCUUAAAGAGUCCAAACAGUAGUUCAAAGGCGAGCGUAUCUAGUCCGAACGUUUCACAACAAAGUGUAUCGAAUACAGUGAGCGGAUCGAAUAUUGGCGGAGGUCCAGGCAUGCUGCAACCAUCAGCAGGACCAGGAGGUCCAUUAAAUUUGCAACCUCCGACAGGAGCAAUGCCGCCCGGGAUUGGACCGGGCGGUGGAGUGGGCAUUGGUGGUCAGAAGGGUGAUGGAAAGCCCGGUACCGAUCCAUCGGGUAAAUCAGCAAUAGGGGGCGGCGCGAAUGAUAGUCGAAGUCCGCCGCCCCAAAGACAUGUUCACACACACCAUCAUACACAUGUUGGACUUGGCUACCCUAUGUAUACAGCACCCUAUGGAGCUGCUGUGCUAGCCAGCCAACAGGCCGCCGCUGUAGCUGUGAUAAAUCCAUUUCCUCCUGGACCGAAUAAGUGAGAACAACUAAAUGAUAAAAAUUCAUACAUGAAGUGACGAUAGUGAUAUUAAAAACAAAAAUUCUAUUUUUUAAUAAGUGGUUCUGUCGAGACAAAAGCAAAAUGAUAGAAGAAAAUUUAAAAUGCUUAACAACUUAUCAAAUUAUAACAUAUGAAUGUAUUUAAUCAUAUUACACGUGAAGAAAGAGCGAAAGAAGGCAAGGUUCGAAGAAACAGAAUAGAAGGCCAGCAAAUCGGUGCAGUGACGAAGCUCCAAAAAGACAGGAACAGUUUCCACACUUGUUUUCUUAUUACUAUUAUCAUUACAAAACGUACCAGUGUUUCAACCCGAGUGACAUUCACAAGAAACAAAGCGAGAGAUUAGUCUUGCAAUGCGGAUGCAAUUUUUGCAAUGUUUGUUAGUCGAUGUAAGCGAACGUAUAAAGUGUUUUCUUUUUAAUUCCGCGCGAUCAGAGAGGUUAUAGUAUGUAAAGUUGUCUCCGUAGCUUCUAUUCCAGCUUAGAGAAUGAAACGAAAAAGUAAAAAUGAAAUGAAAUGUUUAGCACGUAAAAGACUGAAAAGUUUUCAUAAUUAGAAGGAGCACAUUCAAGAGGCGUUUUCUAUAUGGAAAAUAAUAAAUGAUAUGAACGUGAUGCGUGAACGGAGAUAUGGGGUAAAUCACAUGUUGAUUGAAUUCGACAAUUUUUUCGGAUGUAUAUCAGGAUUAUGUCCGUGUCCCAUCUGAACAUCAAUUUCAACUUCAAAAAGGAGGUGAUUAUGUCCAAGAAACUUCCAGAUUGUCGAAGCAGCUUCCAGAUCCAGAUCAAGGAUAUUGCCGCCUACGUUCCGUGCUAGGAGAAGAUAUCAGUCGAGGACUUUUCGAGCUACGACUUAAUCCCGCAACUCCAACGUCAUCGUUUACAACUGAAUCAUCCUUCAUUUUCGAACCAUUUCAUCAUUUGCAGUUUCUCCGUCGAAAUCUGCUGUUUUAUUUGCAUUGUCUUUUGCAAGGAUCCUGAAAAUCCCUAGAUAUAUAAGACACACUGUGUUAUAUAGAAUAUGUCCAUAUAUUUAUGUAUUGUACUUUUUGAUAAAUCUCUGUUAAUAAA
RNAcentral lists this unclassified non-coding RNA (7653 nucleotides) under Hermetia illucens (black soldier fly). RNAcentral's name for it is "zinc finger protein 609, transcript variant X3". The record is from RNAcentral. Lineage: Eukaryota; Metazoa; Arthropoda; Insecta; Diptera; Stratiomyidae.